GCAGCCUACAAAGUGAUAAUCAGGGGUACAUUUAUCUACCUCGCAACCCUACGAAAGUAAAGAAAGAGCCUCAGGCUUACUCAGUUACUAGGCGCCCUCCGCAGCAUCGAGCUUCAACAUAAAUCCAAUCCUACCGACGACACCCUAGAUGGACUGUGGGAAACCCAGCACACCAUCAGCUCCUCGACGAUACGGCACGAUCCAUCACAUGAUCUAGGUGGAAUUUUU
This is a non-coding RNA of Pelobates cultripes (western spadefoot toad), 228 nucleotides long. The record is from the annotation of a GenBank genome assembly. NCBI's taxonomy places the organism in Eukaryota, Metazoa, Chordata, Amphibia, Anura, Pelobatidae.